CUUUCUUUGAGUGUUACCUUUGGUUUCUUGCGGAGGUUCGGGGACAGUUUGAGGCUGAUGACGGAGCCUCGGUCAUCUCCCACAAUGAUGAUUGGACGGACGGGAUUAAACUCAAUCUGUUUGUACAGCGGAACAAUACGGACGGAAAUCAACUGAAUUGUCAAGUCUGGAUGAAAGACGACUCAAGAGUAUCUGAGCUGGACGACACGACAUAAAAUGUGAACUCUGCGGCCCACUCCUUCAAGCUAGCAGAUGAAUGAUUGUGUCUGGGUCACUUGCCUGCGAACGAGAUAUUGAUGCUUUGGAAUGAUUCUUACCAAUCCUUCUGUGGUGACGGCAGCAAAGACAGUGGAGGAGUACGGUGCCCAUGCCACAUCCCCAACUGGAGCACUGAGCUCAAACGUUAACAUGGCAGUGCUGAACAAAAUAAUCAGUAUGGUCCCAGAUCUUGAUGGUCCAAUCCGAGCUGCAAGAGAUGAAAACUUUUGGGUGCUCCUCCGUGUACGCAUCAUAUAUCUCCCACUGAACAGACAAAAGAAAAGCUUCUGAUCCUUUGUUUUGGAAGAAGCACUGUCUGGUCUGUCAUCUUCUCCAGCAUCCUCUUCUUCACCUCCAUCACCAGAUAGAGGUCUUCACUGGCUGCCAGCCUGCGAGCCUCAUCAGAGUCCUGAUGUAUGAGACAACCAUCCAAGACAAAGUGAACAGCCAGCUGAUCAACAACACUGGUCAGCUUGAAAGCACCUUCCUGGAAACAUAACAUAAACAUCAGUGAGAUCCAGUUGAUCAGCGGGUUUAACAGGUUUGCCAUGAGUCCUUUCUUCCCAGCCAUAAUCACCAUAGUCAUCUUCUUCAUCCUGCAAUGAAAUAUUUUUUU
This is a long non-coding RNA of Syngnathus acus (greater pipefish), 874 nucleotides long. RefSeq lists it as uncharacterized. The transcript has 8 exons. NCBI's taxonomy places the organism in Eukaryota, Metazoa, Chordata, Actinopteri, Syngnathiformes, Syngnathidae. The record is from RefSeq and is a predicted model, not a curated record.